UACGUAGGGUGCAAGCGUUGUCCGGAAUUAUUGGGCGUAAAGAGCUCGUAGGCGGCUUGUCGCGUCGUCCGUGAAAACCUGCAGCUCAACUGCAGGCUUGCGGUCGAUACGGGCAGGCUAGAGUUCGGUAGGGGAGACUGGAAUUCCUGGUGUAGCGGUGAAAUGCGCAGAUAUCAGGAGGAACACCGGUGGCGAAGGCGGGUCUCUGGGCCGAUACUGACGCUGAGGAGCGAAAGCAUGGGGAGCGAACAGG
This 253-nucleotide ribosomal RNA is filed under the name uncultured bacterium. Its description in RNAcentral is "partial 16S ribosomal RNA". It matches the Rfam family "Bacterial small subunit ribosomal RNA", at positions 524 to 776 of the family's 1533-position model. The record is from RNAcentral.